RNAcentral lists this transfer RNA (87 nucleotides) under Quisquiliibacterium transsilvanicum. Its description in RNAcentral is "tRNA-Leu". It matches the Rfam family "tRNA". Rfam says of the family: Transfer RNA (tRNA) molecules are approximately 80 nucleotides in length. Their secondary structure includes four short double-helical elements and three loops (D, anti-codon, and T loops). Further hydrogen bonds mediate the characteristic L-shaped molecular structure. tRNAs have two regions of fundamental functional importance: the anti-codon, which is responsible for specific mRNA codon recognition, and the 3' end, to which the tRNAs corresponding amino acid is attached (by aminoacyl-tRNA synthetases). tRNAs cope with the degeneracy of the genetic code in two manners: having more than one tRNA (with a specific anti-codon) for a particular amino acid; and 'wobble' base-pairing, i.e. permitting non-standard base-pairing at the 3rd anti-codon position. Lineage: Bacteria; Pseudomonadati; Pseudomonadota; Betaproteobacteria; Burkholderiales; Burkholderiaceae. RNAcentral also lists the same sequence under 22 other names. The record is from RNAcentral.
GCCCAGAUGGCGGAAUUGGUAGACGCACCAGGUUCAGGUCCUGGCGGUGGCAACACUGUGGAGGUUCGAGUCCUCUUCUGGGCACCA